AACAUCAGUGUUAUUACCAGCGUGAAGAAAUUUAUACUGAAUCAUCGAAAUGGAAUCUAUGAAAAAAGAUAAUGAACAAAAUCAUGAGAUAAUAGAUAUGAUAUACAUACAAAAGGCAUAAAAAAUGUAUAUGCAUAUAAAAAUAUGAUGUCUGGAGAUACGAUAGUCUCAGCGUUGAAACAAGAACAGCAUCAUGGCCAGAGAUAAAAUAAAUUUUAUCCCAUUUGCAAACAUAAGCACAGUUAAUUGGCAAUGAAGAGCCGAUUCCCCAAGAAAACAUUGGAGAUUUGAUUUUGAACUCAUUUAAAUCUAAACUGAAUUUUAUCGGACAGGCAACAUUUUCAAACAACGAAAAUUACUUUAUGCUAUGCGGAUAAAGAGCACAAGUGAAUGCAAACACGGAAGAGCAACUUACAUUUUAAUAGAUGAGAGAGAAUAGUGUGAAGUGUGUAUUUUAUUUUAAAUUUAACUCCCUGGAAAUUAUUGUGAAUGAUGACUUCGAUAAGAACUAAAUUGACAAGUUUUCCUGUGAAACGAAUAAUAUAAGAGAUACAGCAAUUAGAACAUUUUCGUCUUCUGAAACGGAUUAUUACAAAGGUGGUAAGGUAGAAAUUUCUUACAUAGCAUUUGUAUCUCCGUCAAACAGACAGAUAAAAUUUAUCGCUGUCACAUGUAAAAGUAUGACAUGGUAAAAAGCAAAUCAUUCAACUUAAAGAUCCGUACUAUGAGCAGCGAGU
Molecule: long non-coding RNA, 737 nt
Organism: Acromyrmex echinatior (Panamanian leafcutter ant)
Lineage: Eukaryota; Metazoa; Arthropoda; Insecta; Hymenoptera; Formicidae
Source: RefSeq, a predicted model, not a curated record